Molecule: non-coding RNA, 2119 nt
Filed under: Pan troglodytes (chimpanzee)
Lineage: Eukaryota; Metazoa; Chordata; Mammalia; Primates; Hominidae
Source: RNAcentral
GGAGGCAGAGAACCGCGGGCCCGGGGGCCACCCGUCACUUUCAAGUCGCCCCGCCAGAAGCCCAGGGCGAGGAAAAGGAGAGAGACAAAAGGGCGCUGCGGGGGGAGUCCCCACACCCCCCGCGGCCCCGCACACGGCCCGGCUCUUACUCGUAGUGGCGGAAGAUCUCGUUGGUGACUUUACAGUAGAAAACUUCCUCGUCGGGCCGCAGGUCCGCGGGCGGCUUCUGUCUCACAAACGGCUUUCGGUGUAGCAGCGGCAUCUCCCGUCCGCCCGCGGGCUCGCCUGGACCCUCGGCCGCCCGCGCCGGCCCCGCUUCCCUAUCAAAAUUGGAGGGAAAGGAAAGCCGGUAAGGUGGGGAGCCCUCGGCGGCAGCGUGGGCCGGUCCGCGCGCUGGGAGAAGCUCGGCUGCCUUUUGUGUGACUGACGCGCCGCGGCCGCUACCGGAGCCGAGUUCGUUCCUGCCGCUGCCCGGGUGUCGAGCGAGCGGAGCCGCCGCCGCCCCUGCCCCCCGAGCGCGCCCUACCUCCUCUCGGCCUGCCGCCGCCUCACAAUGGGGCAGGACGCCCCGCCGCGGGGGGCAGUGCGGGAGCGGCGGCGGCCCCCUCCCCCAGCGCCGGCUCCUCGCCCGCCGCCGCCGCCAGGCUCACAACGUGCUCGGCGCGCAGCUGGCCGGCCGGCCAGCCCAACGCCGCCAGAGCGCUCGCCGCGGGCGGACCCCGGAGCUGCUCCGCUUUGUUCCCGGCUCGCCUCCACUUCCCGGCCGGCGCCGGCCGGCUCCCGAGCGACCCUCACCUGCGAUCACGCCGACUGCCACUUGUCCACCUUCUCCACUACAAAGGCAACGAGGGGAGACCCCGUCCUCCCAGGGGACCGCCUCUCUCCGGCCCCGCCGCGCCCCUGGCUGCCGCUUCUCCCGCUGCCACUGCCAGACUCCGCGCGGGGAAUUGCGUCCCACCGCCACUUCCCCGCCUCUCGGAGCUCCUGGGAAGUUUCUGAUCUACUUUCGGCUCUGAAGGAGGAAGAGCUGUUGGGAGGAGCUUUUCACUCCUCGCUUCUACCUUUUUAUUGGCUACUCGAUGACUUUUACAGCCUGUCACUGAUACAGGAAGAGACAGCGGAGAGCCUGGGAGAACUACAUUAUUAAUUAAUGGAGCAACCCCUCGUGAAGAUUCAGAAGCAUCCUCCAUGUUUGAGAUUAUCAGCCAAAAGAUCUAGGGAAAGCGCUGGGGGUUCAUAAACACAUGGCUAACAAAGUAAAGCCUUCAAGUCUGGCACAGACGCUUGACUACACGAUGGGAAAAGGGAUUCCAAUUACGAUUUAACUUGUAUUUUAAAGAUGAGAAAAGAAAUGAAUAAGAAAAUUUGUUGCUAUUUUUCUUCUUCCAAAUUAGAAUCUAUAUCUCUAAAAAUACUUUGCAUGUUUAGUAAACAUCCAUCUUGAACAGAAGAUACCUUGACAUCAGUUCUAUUUAAUACUUAUGGCAAUUAAGAGAUUUAGAGAGCAGAGGAAAAGACCAAAAAAAAAAAGUAUGUGUUACAAAGUGUCAUCAUGCUUGUAGGACCCCAGCAUUCUUGAAACUAACGCACCUUUAAAAAGUAAUAUUUACACUGCUGUAAAUAUUUGCAAAGUAUCAAUGUUUAAUUCACUUAGAAUUUUAAGGAUUAUGGAUUUACUAGCGAAAAUUCCCCUAAAGCAACUUUCCCAUAUCAGUAACUUUUAUUUAGGGAAACAAGUUUAAUGUACAUAAUACAUGUGACCUUGGAAUUCAAUAGAAUUUUCGAAACUAGAAGUAACUCAGAACGUUCACUAGAUGUGUUUUAAAGUCUUUUUUGAUACUGUCCUUAACAUUUGCUUAUUUGCAAAUUAAUAUGUAAGAAUGAGUCUAAAAGUAAGUUUUAGGAAUGGUUAUUCGACAAAGAUGUUAUUCCUAUUACCAAUACUGCGAAAUGAUAAUUACAGAAACAAUGUGGGAUCCGUUUUAUAACUUCAAAUUUAAGUUCCUUUGUACUUUGGAGCAGAAAAUGUAAGAAAUCGAAAUCAAGAGUUAGUAUUUUUUAUCUUUCAGGCUGGCUUUAACUGUUCAUACACCUAGCGAAAUAAACAUUUGUGAAAGGC